GCAGCUCAGCAGUAGAGCAUCUGCUUGGCAUGCAGAAGGUUGCAGGUUCGAUCCCCAGUGGCA
This 63-nucleotide transfer RNA is filed under the name Podarcis lilfordi (Lilford's wall lizard). Its description in RNAcentral is "tRNA.Ala". It matches the Rfam family "tRNA". From Rfam's summary of the family: Transfer RNA (tRNA) molecules are approximately 80 nucleotides in length. Their secondary structure includes four short double-helical elements and three loops (D, anti-codon, and T loops). Lineage: Eukaryota; Metazoa; Chordata; Lepidosauria; Squamata; Lacertidae. The record is from RNAcentral.